This is a long non-coding RNA of Scomber scombrus (Atlantic mackerel), 456 nucleotides long. RefSeq lists it as uncharacterized. The transcript has 3 exons. NCBI's taxonomy places the organism in Eukaryota, Metazoa, Chordata, Actinopteri, Scombriformes, Scombridae. The record is from RefSeq and is a predicted model, not a curated record.
UGUGUGUCUGUGUGUUUAACAGUCCGUGAAAGCCAAAGAGCAAGCACUGUUUCAGGAAAGUGGAAGACAACAGCUCUGGGGAGGCUGGUGGAGAAAAAGGAGAAGAAGAAGCAGAAGAAGAAAAAGAGAAAAAAGAGUAGAGAGAAAAAAAGAGGGCAAAUAGAGACGGGACCAGAGAGAGCGAGGGUGAGAGGGUAGGUAGUGAGAUUGGGUCAGAGAGAGAGACUGACAGCAGAGCAUACAUUUCCCAGAGGACACAGCCCGAGAACGAGAGAGACUGCUGAGAAGUUCAGUCUGACAAAAUGCCGAGGAGGAGAAGCGUGUCAUUUGGUGGAUUUGGAUGGAUCGACAAAUCCACCUUGUCUGCACUAAGAGCCCGGAAACAGGAACUGUUAAACAUCUCCAACGUCCCUCUGGGAGAAUGUCCCCCCUCACCACCUCGCACUGCACCGCCCA